UGACCGCGGGCGGCGCUUCUCCGCGCACGGGAGGUGGGGCUUUUUCAGGCUAUUCACCUAGCGGCCAGAGGGACGAGCUGCUGUCCGCUGGGUGGCCCGGAACGGCUUCCUGAGAGACUGCAAGGGUCCCGAGCAGCCGCAGGACUUGCCCAGCCCCUGGUCCGGCACAGGUAGGACGGUGGGAAGCCAGAAGUUUUGAAAACUUUGUAGAAGCACAGCCGAAUAUGCCGGCGGACCGAACGCGUUCGAGGGGAGAGCGCCGACCGCGCGAGGAGGCGGGCCUGGUUCACGGUCACUAUCUCGCGACAUCCAAGUGACGUCGCCCGGCAGUGCGUGUUGGACUCGUCCGUCCGCAGCCGGCCUUCUCCGCCUGCGGGCCUACUUAAGCGAGUGACGGACAGUUACUUCAGCCUAUCGAGUUUCUCAUCAACUUCCAAUCAGAUUUAAACUUCUUUCGGCCGCCACCGGAGUUGGAAGAGGGGGUGAGAGAAAGUGAGACAAGGAGCGCUCUCUCUCGCGAGAUCGCCAAGAUCCGGCCUUUCGGGAAAAAAAAAAAAAAAAAAACACGCCACAGCGGCUGGUCUGGCUUCCCAAAUAACGGGAUAAAGGACGGGGCCACCAGCCAAUGAGAGGCGCGAGGAGGCGGGACCGCUGUUUUCACUGCGCAGAAGUACCGUUACAGAGCAGACUCUGUGCCCAAUCAAAGCCUUCAGACUUUUGGUCAAGUGACCUGAGUGCGAGGGGCGGAGCUACGGCCUGGCGCGAGGAACCGUUAAGAUAGACAACGAAGGUAACCAAUGAGGAACUCGGACUAGUGCGUCGGGAGUCCUGUAACAGUGGUUGGGCGGGCGCCUUCCCGGAGCGCGGGGAGAUGUGAAGAUAGACAAAUUAUUUUCCCAAUGAGACUGUAGGAGAGAAAGCUAAUUGACCAAUGAGGAUUUCGGGGCGGGAUCCUUCGCCGCGGCGGAGUCCAAGAUGGCGGCGUGCGGUUCCGCUGUGUGAAACGAGCGCGGGGCGGCGGGUUAAUCUGCUCCGCGGAGACGACCUCCGAGGACCCGCAGCCAUGAAGGGAAAAGAACGCUCUCCAGUCAAGGCCAAACGCUCCCGUGGUGGUGAGGACUCGACUUCUCGCGGCGGGGAGCGGAGCAAGAAGUUGGGGGGCUCUGGUGGCAGCAAUGGUAGCAGCAGCGGAAAGAUCGACAGCGGCGGCGGGUCGCGGCGGAGCCUUCACCUGGACAAGUCGAGCAGCCGAGGUGGUAGCCGCGAGUAUGACACCGGUGGGGGCAGCUCCAGUAGCCGCAUGCAUAGUUACAGCUCCCCGAGCACCAAAAAUUCUUCAGGCGGGGGCGAGUCGCGCAGCAGCUCCCGGGGUGGAGGCGGGGAGUCACGUUCCUCAGGGGCCGCCUCUUCGGCUCCCGACGGCGGGGAAUACAAGACCCUCAAGAUCAGCGAAUUGGGGUCCCAGCUGAGCGACGAAGCGGUGGAGGACGGUCUGUUUCACGAGUUCAAACGCUUCGGUGAUGUAAGUGUCAAAAUCAGCCAUCUCUCGGGUUCCGGCAGCGGGGAUGAGCGGGUAGCCUUUGUGAACUUCCGGCGGUCAGAGGACGCGCGGGCGGCCAAGCAUGCUAGAGGCCGCCUGGUGCUCUAUGACCGGCCCCUGAAGAUAGAAGCCGUGUACGUGAGCCGGCGUCGCAGCCGCUCGCCUUUAGACAAAGAUGCGUACCCUCAGUCGGCCAGCGUGGUCGGGGCCUCGGUCGGUGGUCACCGGCACCCUCCUGGAGGAGGUGGUGGCCAGAGAGCGCUUUCUCCUGGUGGCGCCGCCUUGGGAUACAGAGACUACCGGUUGCAGCAGUUGGCGCUGGGCCGCUUGCCCCCUCCGCCUCCACCACCGCUGCCCAGAGAGCUGGAGAGAGAACGAGACUACCCGUUCUAUGAGAGAGUGCGUCCAGCAUACAGUCUUGAGCCCAGGGUGGGAGCUGGAGCAGGUGCUGCCCCUUUCAGAGAUGUGGACGAGAUUUCCCCCGAGGAUGAUCAGCGGGCCAACCGGACGCUUUUCUUGGGCAACCUAGACAUCACUGUGACAGAGAGUGACUUGAGAAGGGCUUUUGACCGCUUUGGCGUUAUCACUGAAGUCGACAUCAAGAGGCCUUCUCGUGGCCAGACCAGUACAUAUGGUUUUCUCAAAUUUGAGAACCUGGACAUGUCUCACCGGGCCAAACUAGCAAUGUCCGGCAAAAUUAUUAUUCGGAAUCCUAUUAAAAUUGGUUAUGGUAAAGCGACACCCACCACUCGCCUCUGGGUAGGCGGCCUGGGACCUUGGGUGCCACUUGCUGCCCUGGCACGAGAGUUUGAUCGGUUUGGCACCAUACGCACCAUAGACUACCGAAAAGGUGAUAGUUGGGCGUAUAUUCAGUAUGAAAGUCUGGACGCAGCUCAUGCUGCCUGGACCCACAUGCGGGGCUUUCCACUUGGUGGCCCAGAUCGUCGCCUUAGAGUAGACUUUGCCGACACAGAACAUCGUUACCAGCAACAGUAUCUGCAGCCUCUGCCUUUGACUCACUACGAACUGGUGACAGAUGCUUUUGGACAUCGAGCGCCUGACCCUUUGCGGGGUGCCCGCGAUAGGACACCACCCUUACUGUACAGAGAUCGGGAUAGGGACCUUUAUUCCGAUUCUGACUGGGUGCCACCCCCACCUCCGGUCCGGGAGCGCAGCACGCGGACUGCAGCUACUGCCGGGACUGCUUACGAGCCGCUGGAUAGCCUGGAUCGCAGGCGGGAUGGCUGGUCCUUGGACCGGGACAGAGGUGAUCGGGAGCUGCCCAGCAGCAGAGACCAGUCUCGGAAGCGGAGACUGCCGGAUGACAGCGGAGGACGCCAUCUGGAUAGGUCGCCUGAGAGCGAGCGGCCACGGAAACAUCACUGUGCUCCUUCUCCUGACCGCAGUCCAGAGCUGAGCAGCAGUCGGGAUCGUUACAACAGUGACAACGAUAGAUCCUCCCGUCUCUUACUCCUGGAACGGUCUUCUCCAGUCAGAGACAGACGAGGUAGUUUGGAGAAGAGCCAGGGUGACAAGCGGGACCGUAAAAACUCUGCAUCAGCCGAGCGGGAUAGGAAGCACCGGACAGCUGCUCCCACUGAGGGAAAGAGCCCUCUGAAAAAGGAAGACCGGUCUGAUGGGAGUGCGCCCAGCUCCAGCACUGCUUCAUCAAAGCUCAAGUCCCCUGCCCAGAAACAGGAUGGGGGCGCAGCCCCUGCAGCAGCAGCAGCAGCAGCUUCUCCAAAACUCUGCUUGGCCUGGCAAGGAAUGCUUCUGUUGAAGAACAGCAACUUUCCUUCCAACAUGCAUCUGUUGCAGGGCGACCUCCAAGUGGCCAGCAGUCUUCUUGUGGAGGGUUCCACUGGAGGCAAAGUGGCUCAGCUGAAGAUCACUCAGCGUCUCCGUUUGGACCAGCCCAAGUUGGAUGAAGUAACUCGACGCAUCAAAGUGGCAGGGCCUAAUGGUUAUGCCAUUCUACUGGCUGUGCCUGGAAGUUCUGAGAGCCAGAGCCGGUCCUCCUCCUCUUCGGCCACGACAGACACUGCCAGCUCCACUCAGAGGCCACUUAGGAACCUCGUGUCCUAUUUAAAGCAAAAGCAGGCAGCUGGGGUGAUUAGCCUUCCUGUGGGGGGCAACAAAGACAAGGAAAACACCGGGGUCCUACAUGCCUUCCCACCUUGUGAAUUCUCCCAGCAGUUCCUGGAUUCUCCUGCCAAGGCACUGGCCAAAUCUGAAGAAGAUUACCUGGUCAUGAUCAUUGUCCGUGUGUUUGAGUGUAAGAUAGGAGUUAAGUUUGAGGAGAAGCAAAGUGGAGCUGACCCUGUUAACAGUGAUGUCCCCUAAAGAGAAAAUGAUUUCAGGUAACCAUAGUGAAAUGUUAUGCUUAAUCAAGAGUUCCAUAUGUAUGAUUUAAAGCAGUUGAAAAGUGAGAGUCUUGAGGUGUUCUUCGUUUCACAAUUGUUUUGGAUGUUUCUUUGAAGUAACAGCUGCUGUCUUUGCUAGUAUGGAUGGAGGUGGAUUCUUAAAUGGCUGUGCCCCUUUCUAUAACGGAGUAGUCUGUGUUGCUCCAUAUUAUUUACAGAAUGAAAAUAGAGAGGGUGAAAGUUUCACGAAACUCCACCACUUUGUACUUUCCUUUAAAAUUAUAGUUAGAAUAUAUUGAUAGACUAUAAAAUGAUGGUAAACUUUUUUUCUGAGUUUUUGACAUAUUUUACUCAGUUACAUGAGUAAUUCUCAAUUGCAAUCUUAAAAAAAAAACUCACUGUAUUGUUCUACUUGUUAUUUGUCUAUUCAUACAGUAAAUUCAUUUCAAGGGUUGUGCCAGUGGGUAUUAUUGGUGCUUUUUGAAGUUGAGUUGGGACUAUCCAGGAAGGUCUUGUUAAUGUAAUGUUCAUCUAUAAUGGCAUAGGGGAAAGAUAUAUAUUUUUAAUAUUGUAAAAACAUUUGUACUGAAUAACCUUUUUUUCCCCCCCUGCAAGCAAAACUGGUGAACAGCGGAUGAAGAAAUGGAAUUCAAAGCUCUAAUGGACCUUUUUGAAGAGAAGUUGUGGCUUAUGUGGAGUUUACAUGGGCUUCUGAUGGAAGAAAUCUAAUCUGUUUAGUAUUUGUGCAUUUUACUAAAAUGGCAGCUUAAAGUUGUGUAUCUGCUAUUGUGAUGCCAAUGCCGGUGUUUUAAGUGGAAAAAAAAAAUGACCUCUUUGCUUUGUGCUGUGUACACAAGAUUUCUGGAAAAGUAAAGAAAAACCCUUUUUAUGGCUCACACAGCUUAAAAGUAGCUGUCACUCAAAACGUGCGCUCACAGUUGAGCUGCUUUUGUUUUAUUCUAAAUAAAUUGUUUCUUUUGAGGAAAAUGUUUUUCUGCCUGGAAGUGAAUUGACAACAACCUUUGACCCCUUUGUUUGCAGCCAAGGGGGUACUUGUUGCUGCUCAGAUCUUGUAUGUCUUGAGCAAGAAGCAGGGAGAUCAUCAAUUUCAUUUUGACUAUCACGGUGUUUCGAUUCUGAAGGAUCACUAGUGUUACUGUGAUUCCCUUUGUGUGCAGUGAAGGGGAUCCUUUGCUUCUCGGUCCUCAACGUGAUGAGGAAAUGGUGCUGUUUGCUGGCACACAAGAAGCCGGGGCAAGCACCCUAAACCUCACCACAGUGCACGAGUCGGGGGCUUUGCUGGUUUGAAGAGCCGGAGUUGCUGAAAUUUAAGUUUUGAUUUAUUUUGUUCACCCAUCACCUUUGACCUUAGUUUCAUUUUUAAUUUGAAGAGAAGUUUGAAAUUGUUUUAUCUUGCACUUAACAUUUGCACCAAAUUGCCAAAAGAAGGAGAAAUACUCCGUUUGCUUUUUAAGUGUUAAUGAUGAUGUUAAUAAAACCUUUGCUGACCCAAUUGAGGAGCUCCUCCGUCUCCAGGGGCUUCUUCUCAGAGUUAUGCGGUGAUGGGUUUAGUUCUGAAUGGAUGAAGAGUUCCUGAGAGCUAGCGUUUGUAAUUAGAACCUUAACUUGGUAUCUGUGCCUUAUUUGACCUGUGGUUCCACGUGCCUUGGAUGUGCAUGCACCGUGACGGUUUCACAGGUACGAACGCACACUCAGGCCCAGUCACCUCGGUUGGUAGUACAGAUUGUGAGGAAAAAAAAAUGGAGGCAUCCUUAAGGAGGAAAAAGUGUUUGCCUUUAGUUCCUGCAUUGUCCUGUACAGGGGCUCCUGAGCUUUGGAAGCCUGUUUCCAGUACAGGAGAACAACACCCCUGUCGGCCGCAGGAGACUUCGGUGCACAGUGACAACGCUGGAGUUCAAGAGGAAGCCAGCAGUGCUGCACCAUUGGCUUCAGACACCAUUGUUGUUGUUUGCCAGUCUUAAACUUAACUAGUUGCAGACGAAGACUACCUUGAAAUGCAGGCUUGUUGGGCUUGUUUUGAAUUUUAACCUCGGAUGGAAGAGCCCUAGUGCUGUCUGUCUCCAGGCGGGAUCAUGAUUACUAGGCUACAGGUGAUUAUCAACAAAGGAUGCCACGGUUGUAACUCUGCAAGGUGGUGUUCCAGUGGCAAACAGCUGUAUAAACUUGUAACAGGAACUACUGACAAUCAAACCUUAUAGCCGACUUUGGGAUCUGGCUUUAUUAUUCAGCAGCUAAAAGAUGAGUUCUAAUUGGCAGACUUCUGGCACUGGCACUUGUCCUCAUGUUUCUAUAGAAACUGGGCUGGAAGUCAGAGCUGCACAGAGGGAAAGGGAAUUUCAGCCUGUAUAGUUUGUUAAUAACAAAUUUAGUACAUGAAGUAUUGCCAAGUUACCAACAAUGAAAAUGGCAAAGAAGAUGAUGUAGGCUGUAAGUAGUGAAAAUGCGAUGGCUAGAGGAGCAAGCAGGUUAUUGAUGCUUCAAAUGAUAAGGUAAGACUUGUGCUGGUGAUACUUCUUGAUCAGCAACACAUUCAGAAGUUAGAUCUAUUUACGGGAUACCUGGAACAACAAAGAAGUCUUAGGAAACCCAAAUUCCAUUUUUCUAAGCUCUUUGCAAAAUGAAUGCAGAAGGCAUCUUUUCCCAGUAUGAUCCCAAUCUGAGGUCAAGAUGUGUGAGGAAGCAAUGUUUGUCUGCUGAUAGAGUCUAUCAUUUAUUACCUAUUCUAAGCACAUCUGCUGACAGAACCUAUCAUUUACUUAGCUUUUCUAGACACAUUCCAGAGUUUUGUAGAAGACCUUCAUGUUUAUUAUGAGUUUUUUCUGAUUGUCUUUAGAAAUCUCAUGUCGCUGAACUCUGGGACUUCCUAGUUAGGAGAAUCCUGCACUCUGAAGGCGUUCUAGACCCUUUGGUCCUGGAGGUGAGAAAGUGAGAUUGUUGAAUGGCUGGCUGGGAGACCUUCAGGUUAUUGU
RNA transcript from Ochotona curzoniae (black-lipped pika), 6893 nucleotides. It is a transcript of the gene named RNA binding motif protein 15, with no coding region annotated. The record is from RefSeq and is a predicted model, not a curated record. The transcript is spliced from 5 exons. Lineage: Eukaryota; Metazoa; Chordata; Mammalia; Lagomorpha; Ochotonidae.